This 65-nucleotide transfer RNA is filed under the name Glycera tesselata. RNAcentral's name for it is "tRNA-Val". Lineage: Eukaryota; Metazoa; Annelida; Polychaeta; Phyllodocida; Glyceridae. The record is from RNAcentral.
CAUAGCAAAGCAUUAUAAUGCAUUUCACUUACAUUGAAAAGAUAAUAUUAAUAUAUUUGCUGUGA